RNAcentral lists this long non-coding RNA (307 nucleotides) under Musa acuminata (dwarf banana). RNAcentral describes it as "long non-coding RNA (MACU_LNC007077)". The record is from RNAcentral. Lineage: Eukaryota; Viridiplantae; Streptophyta; Magnoliopsida; Zingiberales; Musaceae.
AUUUCUGAGUUUUCUGUUUGACGAUCGGUGGUCAAACGUUAUCAGUUUUGGCCCAAAUUUUAUGUGGAGAAUCCUUGCAGCAAACUCUACAAUCCUAACGGUGUUGAUCUACAGUUUACCCUCUCUAAGGUACUUUCCUACGAUAUCCACUCUAUGAGACCUAGAAUUCUCUUUUGAGGAGAUCCAUCCUACAUGAUGAAGAUAUGCUAUUGUUGAGCCAAGAUCUAUGUUCUUGAUGUUAUUCUGAUCCUCUAGUUAUUCUAGAGAAGACCUACUGUAAACCUGUUAUCAUUAUUAUUGAUAGUGG